AUGGGAGGCCAUUCUGGAACUAAAGCUACAUACCAAAGAAUUAAGAGGGUUUUCUGUUGGCCAUAUAUGAAGAAAUCAGUGGAGCAGUUUGUAGCAGAAUGUCCUGUGUGUCAAGUUACAAAAUUUAAGCACCAACAUUCUGCUGGACUGUUAGAGAACCUUGCCCAUACCCGGUGCUGGGAAUGUAUUAGCAUGGAUUUUAUUGAAACUCUGACUAAUUCUAAUGGGAAGGAGGGGAUUGUGGUGGUGGUGUUAAGGUUAAUGAGAGCACAUUUCAUAGCCCUGUCCCACCCAUAUACAGUAGAGAAAGUAGUGCAAAUUCUCAUGGACAAUAUUUUUAAAUUUUUUAAAUUGCAUGGAUAUCCAUUGGAGAUUGUCUCAGAUAGAGAUAGAAUUUUCAUUAGUAAUCUCUACCAGCAGAUUUUUGCAACAUUGAAGAUUACUCUGAAAUUAAGUACAUGGUCAAACGGAACGUGUUAUGCUUGGAGGCAUACUUACGCAGUAUGGUAUUUCAAGAACCUAAACAAUGGACAAAAUGGCUCUCCUGUGCAGAAUGGUGGCAUAACACUUCUUAUCAUUCUUCUCUGA
This 588-nucleotide ribosomal RNA is filed under the name Triticum aestivum (bread wheat). RNAcentral describes it as "partial small subunit ribosomal RNA". The record is from RNAcentral. Lineage: Eukaryota; Viridiplantae; Streptophyta; Magnoliopsida; Poales; Poaceae.